RNAcentral lists this transfer RNA (73 nucleotides) under Candidatus Omnitrophota bacterium. RNAcentral's name for it is "tRNA-Ala". It matches the Rfam family "tRNA". From Rfam's summary of the family: Transfer RNA (tRNA) molecules are approximately 80 nucleotides in length. Their secondary structure includes four short double-helical elements and three loops (D, anti-codon, and T loops). RNAcentral also lists the same sequence under 1 other name. The record is from RNAcentral. Lineage: Bacteria; Pseudomonadati; Candidatus Omnitrophota.
GGGGCCGUAGCUCAGUUGGGAGAGCGCUACAAUGGCAUUGUAGAGGUCAGGAGUUCGAUCCUCCUCGGCUCCA